UUUUUUUCUCUCGACACCGGUUUUCUCCCCACCGAUUUUCUCCCUCUGCCGAUUUUCUUUUCUCCCUCCAAUCGACUCUAUCUUUGGUAAAGAAAUAAUUCACAUAAGGCAACCAAGCGGAAUCAAUCAACAAUCAAUCGAAACGCAAUCAAUUCAUGCAUGGCAAUCAAUUCAUUCAUGACGGUGAUAAAUCUCCUUCCUUCUUUCAAUCAAACGUUGAUCAAUCUCCUUCUUUCAAUCUCUUCCUUUUUCCUAUCACCAUGGUUUACUUGGCGCCAAUGAAAAUGAAAAUGAAAAUAGUCAGAUCAGUCAAUAUACGUCCUUGUGUUCUGAACCAUGAGUCGUGUUAGAAGAGAAAUCGGGUCUUAGCACUCAUGCCGAUGGGACCCAGGAUGGGCCGUCCUGGCUCAAAGAGGGUCAUGGCACCACCGCUUGUGAACUUCGUUCCCGCUCCCGUUGGCCCUCCACUGCCGAUCGCCAUGCAACAUUUUAUCCAUUCCUGCUUUUAGUUAUUUGCAUUAGGAAAUAUACAAAAUUGCGCUCUUUGUCAACCAAUUGCAGACAUGUAAGGUUCAGCGAAAUAAAAAACCUACAUAUAUCCAAUAGAGGUUGGGACGCAACGGCAAAGGUUUUGUAUGCUCGCAUCAAACAUACCCGGAGUGGAGCAGCCAUCUUUCACGCCAUCCUCAUCGACCAAACUGUAAGUAUUCAAAGAAGAUAUGCUAUCAAGUGAUCUGCUGAUAAUAUAUUCAACAUGCUGCUAAUGUAUGCAAUAGAUUUCCAGGGGGUCAAAAUGGAUGCAAUUGCAUUUGAUCCAUUUCAACCGAUCGCAUAUCGCUUCAGCGACAACCUACGUGCCGGCUCAGUACACUUAUUCAAAAAAGUUAGUUUUGAACCAGCAGCUAUGCAUCUGCCAGUUGCAUUGCCGGUGCCAUGUGACUUUUACAUCGUCCUCCACUCGCGCACUGAAAUACUUCUUGCCAGGGCCAGCAUUAACAUCCCUUCGUUGCCGCCACGAUUCAUUGAUUUUAUAGAUGUCUACAGCCUCAGAAACAGGAUGCUUGCAGGUGCAUUGUAUCAUCUCACAAUGAAUUUUGCUGACAUGUAGUUGAGCCAGACUUUCUUAACAAAUUCACAUCAUUUUUCCCAGAUGUCAUUGGCAUAGUGAUGCAUGUCAGCAAAAUAAUGUUACACAGGUCAGACGACCGUACCACACCAUACCGACAUGUGAUGCAUGGCAGUGGGCUAACAUUUUAUUGCUCAACCAGGAGGGAGUUUAUCUACCUACGUGUCUGGGACCAGCAUGUGUCACGCCACUUGAUGCGGUGGGGACUAGCAAAGCAGGGGCUCUGGACUUUAGGUGCCACACUGCUUGAGGUCAACAGAGCACAACGUGAGUGCUUGUGUAAUCGAAGAAUGUUUAACAUGACCAUCUUAUAUAAAAAUAUGGAUUGUAUGUUGUUUUAUUAAACCUAUUUUGUACGGUUCUUGAAAACGACAUACAUGAGCCAGCUUGUCUUCCAACCAGACAACCAGCAGUCCUACGAGCUGGCAGCCUGCCGUGCGGCACUAGGAGAUGCUCAACCGGGCCAGCUUGAUUGUUCAACGAACGAGCCAUGUUCACGUUCAACGAAUGAGGAGGGUUCAAGUCUGAUGCAAAAUUCACUUCGAUGCUCUAUAAUGAUGUUCAAAUGUUAUUAUAUUCGCACAGCCACUUAGUGUUCGUCGCCUCUAAAACAGCUUCACAAGGAUCUAUUUUUAUAGUACGUGUUGUCAUCAUUAUAAAUCCAGCUAGAUGAAAGAAAUCAAUGACAGAUGAGAUUCUAUCCGGGAUCAACUGCUAUAUCUAUGUUCUUUCCAUUUUUUUUGUUUCCCCACUAAUUCCUUGUGUAAUAAUGCGCAUUAACUCUAAUUAAUUAAUAUGGGAUCACUUUCCUAUCCAUGGUUGCAUAUAAGUCUGCUUGGCAUACGAACCUCACGCACUCUUCGUGGCAUUGGUUUCCUGCUCAUCUGUCCCUGCCUCCAAUUCAAUCAGCUUGACUAUCAACCCGGGUGCCACGCCGCUAAGAUAAACGCACGCAGACUCCUAUCUAAUUUGGUUCGGUAAGACCUAUAGUUUAUUCAUGUUUACCAUGUAUAAUUAGCCCCAUGUUUGUGAGCAUCGACUCUAUGCAAAGCGCAUCCUGUUUACUAUUUGGGCUUCGAGCAUAAUAGAAUAGUAUGCUUCAGAUGAGGUUGCAGAAAUACACGUACCCACAUAUAAUCGGUGACUGGCUGGGAGAAGGGGGCCUCCAUCCCUUUGCGAUGCGCCGGCUGCAGCUCCUCUCCACGCCGCCGGAGCAAACUCCAGCACACAGAAACCGCUCAGCCUCCGUCUUCCGCGCGGACGCCGUCUCCCGGCCCGCCGUCACCGUAGCGCGCGCAGCCUGCCAUCAAUGGCGACGGCCCACGCAGCCCCCAUCACCAUGGCCAGGACGUCCGCCUUCAAGGACGGCGGCACCACAUCCUCAACGAGCACAGCGGGAUAGAUCGACGCCGGACGCGACAUCGCCGUCGAGCAUCGCGAAUUGCCGGCGCGGUUACGCCGGCAAGGAAUUCGGUGCCGACGUAGCCGCUAUCUCCUUCCUUUCCAUGAAUGACGGCGAAAAUUGG
This 2652-nucleotide long non-coding RNA is filed under the name Triticum aestivum (bread wheat). Its description in RNAcentral is "long non-coding RNA (TAES_LNC018178)". Lineage: Eukaryota; Viridiplantae; Streptophyta; Magnoliopsida; Poales; Poaceae. The record is from RNAcentral.